Molecule: ribosomal RNA, 119 nt
Filed under: Pteropus alecto (black flying fox)
Lineage: Eukaryota; Metazoa; Chordata; Mammalia; Chiroptera; Pteropodidae
Source: RNAcentral
GGCUACAACCAUGCCACCCUGAACGUGCCCAAUCUCUUCUGAUCUUGGAAACUAAGUAGGGUCGGGCCCGGUUAGUAAUUGGAUGGGAGACCACGUUGGAAUACCAGGUGCUGUAGGCA